UAGGGAAUCUUCGGCAAUGGACGGAGGUCUGACCGAGCAACGCCGCGUGAGUGAAGAAGGUUUUUCGGAUCGUAAAGCUCUGUUGUAAGAGAAGAACGAGUGUGAGAGUGGAAAGUUCACACUGUGACGGUAUCUUACCAGAAAGGGACUUGCUAACUACGUGCCAGCAGCCGCGGUAAUACGUAGGUCCCGAGCGUUGUCCGGAUUUAUUGGGCGUAAAGCGAGCGCAGGCGGUUAGAUAAGUCUGAAGUUAAAGGCUGUGGCCUAACCAUAGUACGCUUUGGAAACUGUUUAACUUGAGUGCAAGAGGGGAGAGUGGAAUUCCAUGUGUAGCGGUGAAAUGCGUAGAUAUAUGGAGGAACACCGGUGGCGAAAGCGGCUCUCUGGCUUGUAACUGACGCUGAGGCUCGAAAGCGUGGGGAGCAAACAGGAUUAGAUACCCUGGUAGUCCACGCUGUAAACGAUGAGUGCUAGGUGUUAGACCCUUUCCGGGGUUUAGUGCCGCAGCUAACGCAUUAAGCACUCCGCCUGGGGAGUACGACCGCAAGGUUG
RNAcentral lists this ribosomal RNA (552 nucleotides) under uncultured bacterium. Its description in RNAcentral is "bacterial SSU rRNA". It matches the Rfam family "Bacterial small subunit ribosomal RNA", at positions 355 to 896 of the family's 1533-position model. The record is from RNAcentral.